Molecule: non-coding RNA, 87 nt
Filed under: unclassified sequences
Description: skipping-rope RNA
Rfam family: skipping-rope RNA
About the family: Firmicutes, Fusobacteria, AlphaProteobacteria, Spirochaetes.
Source: Rfam by way of RNAcentral
AAAAGUAGCGAAUAGAACAGGCGGCUAUCACUCCUGACUAAUAUCAGAUCUUAUAAGAGAGGUGGGAUUGCCACCCCGCCUACUUUC